UCAAGCGAAGAAUAGGUUUAUGGUGGAUGUCUUGGAGCCAACCGGCGAAGAAGGCCGUGAUAAGCUGCGAAAAGCUUCGGGGAGGAGCACAUAUCCUGUGAUCCGGAGAUAGCCGAAUGGGGUAACCCGAUAGGAGUGAUUCUAUCAUUACGCUCUUGAAUAAAAUAGAGAGGUAAAGCAAUACUGAGUGAACUGAACCAUCUAAGUAACUCAAGGAAAAGACAUCAAAAGAGAUUCCGAAAGUAGUGGCGAGCGAAAUUGGAAGAGCCCAAACCCGUUAAACGGGGGUUGUAGGGCUGCACGGGCUUACGUACAGCAAGUGAUAAAAUGAAUGUAUAGUAGAAAGGUUUUGGGAAAGCCUGACAGAGAGGGUGAAAUCCCCGUAUACGAAAUACAGUCAUCUUGCCGGUGCAGUACCUGAGUACGGCGGGACACGAGAAAUCCUGUUGGAAUCUGGGUCGACCACGAUCCAAGGCUAAAUACGAGUUGGCUACCGAUAGCGGACAAGUACCGUGAGGGAAAGAUGAAAAGAACCCCUGUGAGGGGAGUGAAAUAGAACCUGAAACCAUAAACCAACAAGAUGUUACAGCCCUAUAUGGGUGGUAGCGUGCCUUUUGUAGAAUGAGCCUGCGAGUUACGGUAUGCAGCGAGGUUAAGGAAUAGAAGUUCCGGAGCCGGAGGGAAACCGAGUCUGAAGAGGGCGAAGUAAAGUUGCAUGUCGUAGACCCGAAGCCAGAGUGAUCUAGUCAUGAGCAGGUUGAAGCAGCGGUAAAACGCUGUGGAGGACCGAACUACAAUCUGUUAAAAAAGGUUUGGAUGACUUGUGACUAGGAGUGAAAGGCUAAACAAACCUGGAAAUAGCUGGUUCUCCCCGAAAUGCCUUUAGGGACAGCCUUAUACAAAAUUACCGGAGGUAAAGCACUGGAUGGACUAGGGGGCUUCACCGCCUACCAAACCCAAUCAAACUCUGAAUGCCGGUAAUCAACGUAUAGGAGUGAGACUGCGUGCGACAAGGUUCGUAGUCAAAAGGGAAACAGCCCAGACCGUCAGCUAAGGUCCCGAAAUACUGCUUGAGUGUGAAAUGAAGUGUGGAUACAAAGACAGCCAGGAGGUUGGCUUAGAAGCAGCCAUUCCUUAAAAGAGUGCGUAAUAGCUCACUGGUCGAGUAUACAUGCGCAGAUAAUGUAACGGGGCUAAGCAGUAUACCGAAGCUACGGGUCUUAUGCAUUAAAAGCAUAAGGCGGUAGGGGAGCAUUCCAUGGACUGAUGAAGGCGUACCUGAGAGGGGCGCUGGAGGGGAUGGAAGAGAGAAUGCAGGUAUAAGUACACGAAAAGAAAGGUGAGAUUCCUUUCCGCCGAAAACCUAAGGUUUCCUGGGUAAAGGUCAUCUGCCCAGGGUUAGUCGGUCCCUAAGGCGAGGGCGAAAGCCGUAGUCGAUGGGAAAUCGGUUCAUAUUCCGAUACCUUUUAUAAUUUCGAUGGCAGGACGCAUGAGGCGACCCCCGGCCGGAGAACGGUUGUUCCGGUCGAAGUAUUUAAGCCGUUAUAAAGGAUAGUAGGCAAAUCCGCUAUCCAAGGUAAGAAGCGACAGCGAGUGGAUCGAUGAGAGAAGCGAAGCGGGGUAAGUCACGGUGCCGGGAAAUACUGUCUAAGGAUCAGGUUAUAAAAGACCGUACCGUAAACCGACACAGGUAGGUAGGAUGAGAAAUCUAAGGCGCUCGAGAGAACUCGCGUUAAGGAACUCGGCAAAAUGCACACGUAACUUAGGGAAAAGUGUGGCCUCUGUUUAGUAAUGAGUGGAGGUAGCAUAAAGCAGGCCCAGGCGACUGUUUAUCAAAAACACAGCCAUCUGCGAAUCAGUAAUGAGACGUAUAGGUGGUGACACCUGCCCGGUGCCGGAAGGUUAAGAGGAGCGGUGAGCAGUAAUGCGAAGCUGUCAAUUGAAGCCCCGGUAAACGGCGGCCGUAACUAUAACGGUCCUAAGGUAGCGAAAUUCCUUGUCGGGUAAGUUCCGACCCGCACGAAUGG
Molecule: ribosomal RNA, 2027 nt
Filed under: human metagenome
Description: bacterial LSU rRNA
Rfam family: Bacterial large subunit ribosomal RNA
Source: RNAcentral